ACAGGUGCUGCAUGGCUGUCGUCAGCUCGUGUCGUGAGAUGUUGGUUAAGUCCCGCAACGAGCGCAACCCUUAUCCCUAGUUGCCAUCAGGUAAAGCUGGGAACUCUGGGGAGACUGCCGGUGAUAAACCGGAGGAAGGCGGGGAUGACGUCAAGUCCUCAUGGCCCUUACAUCCCGGGCUACACACGUGCUACAAUGGCAGGUACAGAGGGCUGCGAAGCCGCGAGGUGGAGCGAAUCCCAGAAAACCUGUCUCAGUCCGGAUUGAAGUCUGCAACUCGACUUCAUGAAGGCGGAAUCGCUAGUAGCCGCGAAUCAGCAGGUCGCGGUGAAUACGUUCCCGGGCCUU
This 348-nucleotide ribosomal RNA is filed under the name uncultured Latescibacterota bacterium. RNAcentral's name for it is "bacterial SSU rRNA". It matches the Rfam family "Bacterial small subunit ribosomal RNA", at positions 1034 to 1382 of the family's 1533-position model. Lineage: Bacteria; Pseudomonadati; Candidatus Latescibacterota. The record is from RNAcentral.